Long non-coding RNA from Oncorhynchus keta (chum salmon), 433 nucleotides. RefSeq lists it as uncharacterized. The record is from RefSeq and is a predicted model, not a curated record. The transcript is spliced from 3 exons. Lineage: Eukaryota; Metazoa; Chordata; Actinopteri; Salmoniformes; Salmonidae.
UGAGGACACUACUACUACACAGAGACCAAGAUAGAACAGGAGAAGGUGAGGACACUACUACUACACAGAGACCAAGAUAGAACAGGAGAAGGUGAGGACUACUACUACUACACAGAGACCAAGAUAGAACAGGAGAAGGUGAGGACACUACUACUACACAGAGACCAAGAUAGAACAGGAGAAGGUGAGGACACUACUACACAGAGACCAAGAUAGAACAGGAGAAGGUGAGGACACUACUACUACUACACAGAGACCAAGAUAGAACAGGAGAAGGUGAGGACACUACUACACACAGAACAGGAGAAGGUGAGGACACUACUACUACACACAGAGACCAAGAUAGAACAGGAGAAGGUGAGGACACUACUACUACUACACAGAGACCAAGAUAGAACAGGAGAAGGUGAGGACACUACUACUACACAGAGAC